RNAcentral lists this ribosomal RNA (497 nucleotides) under uncultured bacterium. RNAcentral describes it as "partial 16S ribosomal RNA". It matches the Rfam family "Bacterial small subunit ribosomal RNA", at positions 28 to 507 of the family's 1533-position model. The record is from RNAcentral.
GAUGAACGCUGGCGGCGUGCCUAAUACAUGCAAGUCGAGCGAACAGACGAGGAGCUUGCUCCUCUGACGUUAGCGGCGGACGGGUGAGUAACACGUGGAUAACCUACCUAUAAGACUGGGAUAACUUCGGGAAACCGGAGCUAAUACCGGAUAAUAUAUUGAACCGCAUGGUUCAAUAGUGAAAGACGGUUUUGCUGUCACUUAUAGAUGGAUCCGCGCCGCAUUAGCUAGUUGGUAAGGUAACGGCUUACCAAGGCAACGAUGCGUAGCCGACCUGAGAGGGUGAUCGGCCACACGGGAACUGAGACACGGUCCAGACUCCUACGGGAGGCAGCAGUAGGGAAUCGUCCGCAAUGGGCGAAAGCUUGACGGAGCAACGCCGCGUGAGUGAUGAAGGUCUUCGGAUCGGAAAACUCUGUUAUUAGGGAAGAACAAAUGUGUAAGUAACUAUGCACGUCUUGACGGUACCUAAUCAGAAAGCCACGGCUAACUACGUG